RNAcentral lists this ribosomal RNA (652 nucleotides) under Potamonautes perlatus. RNAcentral's name for it is "SSU rRNA". It matches the Rfam family "Eukaryotic small subunit ribosomal RNA", at positions 685 to 1332 of the family's 1831-position model. The record is from RNAcentral. RNAcentral also lists the same sequence under 4 other names. Lineage: Eukaryota; Metazoa; Arthropoda; Malacostraca; Decapoda; Potamonautidae.
CAGCCGCAACAGCCCGCUGGCUCGCACGGGGUGCUCUUCAUCGAGUGUCCCGCGUGGCCGGCAGAGUUUACUUUGAAAAAAUUAGAGUGCUCAAAGCAGGCUACACUGACAGCCUGAAUGCCUAUGCAUGGAAUAAUGGAAUAGGACCUCGGUUCUAUUUUGUCGGUUUUCUGAACCCGAGGUAAUGACUAAUAGGAACAGGCGGGGGCAUUCGUAUUGCGACGCUAGAGGUGAAAUUCUUGGACCGUCGCAAGACGAACUACUGCGAAAGCAUUUGCCAAGGAUGUUUUCAUUAAUCAAGAACGAAAGUUAGAGGUUCGAAGGCGAUCAGAUACCGCCCUAGUUCUAACCAUAAACGAUGCUGACCAGCGAUCCGCCGGCGUUAUUCCCAUGACCCGGCGGGCAGCUUCCGGGAAACCAAAGUCUUUGGGUUCCGGGGGAAGUAUGGUUGCAAAGCUGAAACUUAAAGGAAUUGACGGAAGGGCACCACCAGGAGUGGAGCCUGCGGCUUAAUUUGACUCAACACGGGGAACCUCACCAGGCCCAGACACCGGAAGGAUUGACAGAUUGAGAGCUCUUUCUCGAUUCGGUGGGUGGUGGUGCAUGGCCGUUCUUAGUUGGUGGAGCGAUUUGUCUGGUUAAUUCCGAUAAC